AUGCUCUCUGUUUCCUGCUCAGGACUUGUGAUCUUGUUGAUACUCAGAAGGACCAAUGGAGAUUUAGUGACCCAAGAAAAAGGUCCUGUUACCCUUCCAGAAAGGGCACCUCUAUUCCUGAACUGCACAUACCAGACCAGCUAUCCAGCUUCCCUUUUCUGGUAUGUCCAGUAUGAAAGCAAAGCACCUGAGCUUCUCCUGAAAAGCUCAUCAGGAAAUCAGGAUGUGGACAACAGGGGUUUUCAGGCCAAUCAUGUUAAGAGUGACAGAUCCUUCCACCUGAAAAAACUCACAGUUCAACAGUCAGACAAAGCUGUGUACUACUGUGGUCUGCGGGACACAGUGAAAGGGAAUACAGGGGAAGCUGAGCAGAAACUCUGCACAUAUAAAGCACUAGGUGUGGGAAGCCCUGGAGAAGGUUUAUUUUUGUCUCCACAGACAGAGUUCUGUAGAGUACUUCCUCAAGUACUUCCAGCUUGA
Chrysochloris asiatica (Cape golden mole) is the source of this 480-nucleotide non-coding RNA. The record is from the annotation of a RefSeq genome assembly. Lineage: Eukaryota; Metazoa; Chordata; Mammalia; Afrosoricida; Chrysochloridae.